This 83-nucleotide transfer RNA is filed under the name Podura aquatica (water springtail). RNAcentral describes it as "tRNA-Trp". The stretch from base 17 to 83 matches the Rfam family "tRNA". Rfam says of the family: Transfer RNA (tRNA) molecules are approximately 80 nucleotides in length. Their secondary structure includes four short double-helical elements and three loops (D, anti-codon, and T loops). Lineage: Eukaryota; Metazoa; Arthropoda; Collembola; Poduromorpha; Poduridae. The record is from RNAcentral.
AAGCUUAACCCCUCCUAAGACUUUAAGUUAAUAAACUAUAAACCUUCAAAGUUUAUUUUAUUGGUUCAAUCCAGUAAGGCUUG